AUGGCCGCACUCAAAGACAUGUCUCCAGUUGCGAUCUUGGGGAGGAAACAUCCUCUCCUUUCUCAGGAGAUUGAGAAGUAUUCCAAGAAAUGGAAUAAGCGGACGGGUAAAGCUCAGUCACCCUGGCCAUCCGAUGGAACAUUCGAUCAUGAGCAAUGUGUGGAGAUGGAAGUGUUAAUAAAAAAUUACAAAAUAAAAGAUAAAUCUGCCAAGCGACUGUGUAAACGUGAGCGUGAGGUUGCAAUGCUAAAGUUAUUCACAGAUCAAGCCCAACUCCUGAGGGAGAAAACAGCUGAAUAUGUAAAAAAACAGAUUGAGCGGAGAAAAGAGGAGAGAAAAAAGGGAGAAUCCUUAAAAGCAGAGCCCCCAUCUUAUGCUGCACAGAUGCCGGUGCGGGAGAUCAGACUAUUAGGAGACUAUUCACUUAGGUCCGGUAAAUCAGGUAAAAGCAUCUAUCCCAUUGAGGAGUUAAAGAAGGUCAGGGAAAGAGAGAGAGAGCUAGAUGACAUAGAAGACUUACCUGCCACGUAUGCUAAAGCAGUUCAGCUUGCAGGGAAAGACACUCGUCGUAUUAGUGGCUUACAUGAUAAAGUAAUGCAUGACAUAAAACAAUCUGAGUGUGCAGAGGACGACAGCGAGGGCGAGGAGCAAGGCGAAGAAGAAGGAGCAACUGGGGAGAGUGAAAGAGUCCGAAGAUCCCUGGCAGAGGUACAGUACUCUAAAUUGCCAGAUCCAAGUAUGGUCUCUACCCCUCGCUAUCUGCAGGCUGGAGCUAAGCCCAAGCAGGCCAGGAUAAAGGAAAAGAUGCCCCGUCCUGAGGCCUUUGCCCCUGGCAGUGAAGUAGUAGAGGAGCAUGGACAGAUGGAAGGCGUCAUCACGCUCAGCUCCAAGGGACAUCCAGUGUCAGCAGAGGUAGUAGAGGAGGCGUCCGAAUACCCCCUGCUGGCAAAUCUGCAAUAUGUGCCCUGGCCAACCAUGGAUCUGGAAGGGCUGGUGCAGAGACUGCCAUGUCUGCUUGAUUGCGCCGGGAAAUGGGUAGCAGCCUUCGAAGAAGAAACCAUAGCCACCAUCCUGGCAGUGGGUGACCUCAAGGCCCUCCUUGGGAAGGUGCUGGGGAAGCAAGAGAUGGAGGAGACGCUGAGAUCGGCGCAGAUGAAUGCAUAUGCAGAAGCAGCAGGAUGA
This 1182-nucleotide long non-coding RNA is filed under the name Betta splendens (Siamese fighting fish). RNAcentral describes it as "lncRNA (ENSBSLG00000025181.1)". Lineage: Eukaryota; Metazoa; Chordata; Actinopteri; Anabantiformes; Osphronemidae. The record is from RNAcentral.